GAGAGGCGGGCUGGGAAUGCGCGUGCGCAGUCUCGGCAAGCGCAGCUCUUCCUCCUCGUCGUCCUCCCGGGCGCCUCGCCAGGUCUUCCGGGCGGGCGGGCGCGGAGGGGGCGCGGGGCGGAACAGCGGGACGCCCAGGGCGGGCAGCGCCCCCUCCCCCGCGGCCCCCCCGCCCCGCCACAGGAGGGGGCGGAGCUUGCCCUGUGGGCGGGGCCUGCCCCGUGCCGGCAAGGAAGGCCUAGCCGGGUCCGGCCCGCCCUCACUCUUUCCCUCUCCCAGGGCCGGGAAGAGCCGAGCCCGGAGGAGGCGGGGGGCGGGCUUGGCCUCUCCGGCCUCCUCCUUCCUGGCCCUCAGGGCCUCCCGCUUGGCCUCCGCCGCCGCCUGCCUACGCUCGCUGAGCGCCCAUAACGGCCGCCUACCCUGCACGCUCCUCACUUCCGCCAUGGCUGCACGAGAUGGAGCGCAUACUGUUUGCGGUUUGGAGACCCCUGCGAUAUCGACACGGAAGACCAAGAAGAACAAACAGAAAACUCUUGGAACCGGGGAAGGAAGCAGCACCCAUGAAAACCCUCAGCCUCCCAGGAAGAAAAGGGCCCCCGGGUUGACCCCAGUGUUGAAAGCGAGGAAACGUUUAUGAACAGAGUGGAAGUCAAAGUGAAAAUACCAGAAGAGCUGAAACCGUGGCUGGUCGAUGACUGGGACCUGAUCACCCGGCAAACGCAGAGAACAUGCUGUGAAGGAAGUCGUGGCCGGCAUCAAGGAGUACUUCAGUGUCAUGCUGGGCACGCAGCUGCUGUAUAAGUUUGAGCGGCCGCAGUCCGCCGAGGUCUUGGCCGACCACCCCGAUUCGCCCAUGUCCCAGGUGUCUGGCGCGCCCCACCUCCUGCGGCUGUUCGUCGGAUUGGCGCAAUGCUGGCCUACACACCUCUCGAUAAGAAGAGUUUGGCCCUGCUGUUGAACGACUUACACGAUUUCCUGAGUAUCUUGCCAAGAAUUCCUCUGCGUUGUUUAGCGCAAGCGACUAUGAGGUUGCACCUCCCGAGUAUCACCGGAAAGCCAUGUAAGCCUCUCUCUGAGAGGUGGGAAAGGGGACUGCUGGGAGCGGGGACCCAUUACCGGAAAAUGGGGUCCUUGUUUCACUGCGGCCACACAGCUGCCCACUUCCACGUUCCUCCAUGGCCUCCCAUCCUGUGCGGUUGACACAAGGCUCAGCGGAUAUUACGUCUUCGGAAAGGGAGACGGGUUCAAGAUUGGGAGAGGAGUACGGACAUCAGGGCUGCAUCCUCUCACCCUCCCUAUUCAACUUGUACGCAGAAGACAUCAUGCAAUGUAUGUGUGGGGCUUGACGAAUCCAAGGCUGGAGUUAAAAUUGCUGGAAGAAACAUUAACAACCUUAGGUGUGCAAAUGAUACGACUCUGAUUAAAGCUGACAGUGAGGAGGAGCCUUAUCACCAAGGUGGAAGAAAGAAGACAGCGCAAAAGCCGGGCUGCAGUUAAACAUCAAGAAAACUAAGGUGAUGGCAACCAGACCAAUUGACAACUGGCCAAUAGAGGGAGAAAACGUGGAGGCCGUGACAGACUUCAUAUUUCUAGGCGUGAAGAUCACUGCAGAUGCAGACUGCAGCCAGGAAAUCAGAAGACUUUUUCUUCUUGGGAGAAGAGCAAGGAUAAAACAGUGAUAAAACAGUGAAGAGCAGAGACAUCACACUGGCAACGAAGGUCGCAUAGUGAAAACAGUGGUAUUCCCCGUAGUAACCUAUGGAUGCGAGAGCUGGACCAUAAGAAGGGCUGAGCGAAGGAAGAGAGAUGCAUUUGAACUCUGGUGCUAGAGGAAAAUCCUGAGAGUGCCUUGGAGCACAAGAAGAUCCACCCAGUCCAUCCUCCAGGAAAGAAAGCUGGGCUGCUCCCUGGAGGGAAGGAUAUUGGAGGCAAAGAUGGGGGGAGGGGUGCGUGGCCGUGAGGGGGGAUUGUGAUGGGUAGGGGGCUUUGGGGACACUCUGAGGCUGAGAGAGAGUGUCAGGGCCAGGCUGGGCACCCAGGAGGGCAGGAUCAGGAAGCAGAGAUGUUCUUCGUCCUCCUCCUCCUCUGUGGGGCCCUGGAUGUUGCACACGGGCGGGCUGGCUAGCUGGCGAGGAGGGGUAUGGGAUGGAAAAGCAGGAGGCCCAGGGCGGGCAGCGCCUCCCUAGCAGAGGACGGAGCGAACCCUGCUGCCUCAGGGGCCUCUUUGCCCUCUGCUGAAGGGCGGCGAUGGGGGCCGCCUCCAUCCCUUCCCUCCCAAGGCAGGGCAGUGGCCCCUCGGGCGGUGGUUUGGCCAGGAGGGGCUGGAGGGGGCCCUGCCUCUGGGGCCGCGCCGGGGGAGGCCUCUUCCCGGCCUGGCUUGGCUUUCCCAAGGCGGGAAAGAGCCUUGCCCAGAGGAGGAGGGGGCGGGCCUGGCCUCGCCGGCCUCCUUCUGUGCCCUUACGGCUGCCCUCUUGGCCUCCACGGCCGCGUACCUCUCAGGGCUCAGCGCCCACAGCAGGCGUGGAGGGCGAGGAGGGGGCGCGGCCUGGAGAAGGAAGCCCAGGGCAGGCAGCGCCCCCUCGGGUUCCCUCCUCGCCAGGAGGGGCUGGAGCGCCCCCUGCCGCACGGGCCUCGUCCCCCUUCGCGGGGCCCUGCCCCCGGCAGGCAUGGCAGGACCCCCUCCAGGUCCGGCCUCCUGAGGAGUGGCAGGAGGGGGCCCUGUUUGCGGGGCCGCGCAGGGGCAGGCCUCUCUUCCACCGCCUUGUGCCCGGGCCCGCCCUCGCCCAGCCUGGAGAAGAGGCGGGCCUGGACGAGGCGGGGGACCAAAAUGUCCGCCCUCUUCAGUUCCGCCUCAUCUUCUUUUCUUCUGAGCACAGCCCAUAAAGGGCGUCUUUCAGGUAAUAUUUUAUUGCCGUCCAUUUUGGAAAAAAACGGAGGCUGAAUGGGCUGCAGGGGGAGAGUGGGGGGCUUGGCCGGGAGGGCGGAUUGUGACAGGGAGGGGGCCUUGGGGACCCUCUGAGGCUGAGAGGUUGUGCCCUGCCCAAGGCCAUCCAGGCUGGAAGGAGGGAAGGGGCCUCAGGAGGGGCAUCUGGGGGCGCAGGGGGGCGGCUUCUUCCCUGCCUGGGGUCCAGGCCCGCCCUCGCCCAGGGUGGCCCCGAGGGCAGGGAAUAGGUGGGUCCAGACCAGGUUGCAAGGAAUGAGUGCUUUGUUUCCCCAGGAGGGGCUGGAGCGCCCCCUGCCGCAUGGGCCUCCUCGCCGUACUUGGGGGCCCGCCCUCGGCCCUGGUUGGCCUCCCUCCGGGUCGGGCCUCCUCAGCAGUGGCACCCCAUCCGGCGGUGGCUUGGCCAGGAGGGGCUGGAGGGGGCCCUGCCUCGGGCUGCGCCGGGGGAGGCCUCUUCCCGGCCUGGCUUGGCCCGGGCCCUCGCUCGCCUCUAGAAGGAGGGGGCGGAGCUUGCCCUGUGGGCGGGGCCUGCUCCAUGCCGUACUGGAAGGCCUAGCCGUGUCCGGCCCGUCCCCGCCCUCGCUCUUUCCCUCUCCCAGGGCCGGGAAGAGCCGAGCCCAGAGGAGGCGGGGGGCGGGCCUGGCCUCGCCGGCCUUCUCCUUCCUGGCCCUCAGGGCUGCCCGCUUGGCCUCCACCGCCGCCUACCGGUGCUCGCUGAGUGCCCACAACGGGCGCCUACCCUCCGUGCUCCUCACGUUCGCCAUGGCUCGGUGAGAAAUGGGAGUCCGGGCAGGGAGGGGGCUGUACCCCGCGAGAGGAGAUUGUGACGGGAUGGGAGCGGGGGUUGUGACGUAGGGGUCAGGGGCAGGGAGGGGGCCUAGUCAUGAGGGGCGAUUGUGAUGGGGAGGGGGAUUUGGGGACCCUCUGAGGCUGAGAGUGUGUCAGGGCCAGGCUGGGCACUCGGGGGGGGCAUAGGUGUGGAAGGCAGUGAUGUUCCUCCUCCGCGGGGCCCCGGAUGUUGCACGCAGGUGCUAAAUUUGUAAAUACGGUUAUUACUACAGAACAUUGCUAUGUCCUGAACUGCUUUUUCUGUCAAUUUGUUGUAAAACAUGAUGUUUGGUGCUUAAUUUGGAAAGUCCUAAUGUAAUUUGGUGUUUAAUAGGCUUUUCCUUAGUUCCUCCUUAUUAACCAAUAUUUUCGCUUAUCCAGUGUUUUGCCUGCUCGUUUAUGUUGGAUAAGUGAGACUCUACUGUAUAUACAUACACCAGUGGUUCCCAAACUUAUUUGGCCAACCGCCCCCUUUCCAGAAAAAAUGCUACUCAGGAAAGGGGGGCGUGGCUUAGGGGGUGGGCGUGGCUCCUGCUCAAGAGGGCGGGACUAAGCCUCUCCCCUAGUCCAAGAUGCAGGGCUGGGAGGGGGAGGUGGGCGGGGCCACAAAUGGGAGGCCAGGACUGGGAUGGGCGAGUUCUGAGGCAGGGCUGAGCUUCUAUCCCUGUCCUGCGGCGCCUGCCAGGACACAGGGGGAGGGGCUAGAGGAGGGGGCGAGGCCUCUUCCGAAGUGCCUGACUGUGCUGAACCUCUAUAUCCCGCCCCCGUGUUUUAGCAAGCGCCUCAGGGGAGGUAUACAGAGUCUCAGCCCUGUCUCACCCCUGCCCCGCCCUUUAGUCCUAAGAGGCCUCUCGGGAGAGAUACAGAGGCUCAGCCCUGUCUCGGGCUCUUGGAAGAAGGCCCCGCCCCCUUCCCUAGCUCCGCCCUCUGUGUCCCAACAAGCGCCUCAAGAGAGGUAUAGAGGCUCAGCCCUGUCUCGGGCUCUUGGGAAGAAGCCUGGCCCCGCCCCCAUGUCCUAAUAGGUGCUAUCACUGCCCCCCCGGAUCGCUGCAGCGCCCACCAGGGGGCGGUAGCACCUACUUUGGGAAUCGCUGCCUUAGAGGAUUGUUUCUUGUCUAGAAUUCCUCUGCCAGCUAACACUUCCCAAAGAAGUUUCAAAGCAGCCAGGCUUUGAAGCUGCAAGGCUACUCAAUGCUAAUCAAGCUGGCCAGUUGCAACAUUCACACUUGCCUCAAACAGACAAACAGAGUUUUUUCUUCCACCCUGAACUUUCCACAGAUCUAUGGCAGGCAUCCUAAGGGGUUGUGAGGUUUGUUGGAAACUAGGCAAGUGGGGUUUAUAUACCUGUGGAUAUCUAUGUCAUUUUUGCAUGAUUGUAUUAAUUAAUGAUGUUUUGUUUCCCUGGGGCCUGGAAUCCCCAGCCCAGCCCUCUUAAUGGGCCAGGUCAUGUUCAUCGCAUGGAACAACAGCCUUCCUGGGUAGGGCCAGAAAAUGCCCUCAAUCGUUUUAUUGUUUUUCCUGUCAACAAAGAGGAACUUCACCUGUCGCCAAGAAUUAGAGGCUUGGCUGCAGCCGGUGUAUAAAAAGGGCUAUGAAACUGUAUUCUGUAUGCUAUCUACUUUGUGAAUGAAUCACUAUCUGGCAUCUUACCUGCAGAUAAUAAAAUCCUCCUUGGCUGAAAAUCA
Anolis carolinensis (green anole) is the source of this 5454-nucleotide RNA transcript. RefSeq lists it as uncharacterized. The record is from RefSeq and is a predicted model, not a curated record. Lineage: Eukaryota; Metazoa; Chordata; Lepidosauria; Squamata; Anolidae. The transcript is spliced from 8 exons.